UCUUGAGUUCAAUAAACAUAUAUUUCUCCUCCAUACCAUUCAAUACAAAAUGGUUAUAUGCGUGAAUGUCAUCCUGACCCUCUUUGUUUUUAAAGAUGUUCUGGCAGAUGUUUCAAUAACUGAAUCAGGAGGAGGAGUGAAGAGUCCAGGAGAUUCGCUUCGACUUACUUGCACAAGCUCUGGCUUCAAUAUCGACAGCCACUAUAUGGAAUGGGUCCGCCAGGCAGAUGGAAAAGGACUGGAGUGGAUCGCGCGGAUACAUCAAAGCACCACGUAUUAUGCCAAUUCUUUCAAAGGUCGAGUCACAAUCUCCAAAGAUAGUUCCAGGAACCAAGUUUAUCUAGACAUGAAUGGACUGAAAGCUGAAGACACAGCCAAAUAUU
This is a non-coding RNA of Thamnophis sirtalis, 383 nucleotides long. NCBI's taxonomy places the organism in Eukaryota, Metazoa, Chordata, Lepidosauria, Squamata, Natricidae. The record is from the annotation of a RefSeq genome assembly.